GUUGAACGCUGGCGGCAUGCUUUACACAUGCAAGUCGAACGGUAACAGGUCUUCGGAUGCUGACGAGUGGCGAACGGGUGAGUAACACAUCGGAACGUGCCUAGUAGUGGGGGAUAACUACUCGAAAGAGUAGCUAAUACCGCAUGAGAUCUAAGGAUGAAAGCAGGGGACCUUCGGGCCUUGCGCUACUAGAGCGGCUG
Molecule: ribosomal RNA, 200 nt
Filed under: uncultured bacterium
Lineage: Bacteria
Description: partial 16S ribosomal RNA
Rfam family: Bacterial small subunit ribosomal RNA
Source: RNAcentral